AUUGAACGCUGGCGGCAGGCCUAACACAUGCAAGUCGAGCGGUAACAGGAAGAAGCUUGCUUCUUUGCUGACGAGUGGCGGACGGGUGAGUAAUGUCUGGGAAACUGCCUGAUGGAGGGGGAUAACUACUGGAAACGGUAGCUAAUACCGCAUAACGUCGCAAGACCAAAGAGGGGGACCUUCGGGCCUCUUGCCAUCGGAUGUGCCCAGAUGGGAUUAGCUAGUAGGUGGGGUAACGGCUCACCUAGGCGACGAUCCCUAGCUGGUCUGAGAGGAUGACCACCCACACUGGAACUGAGACACGGUCCAGACUCCUACGGGAGGCAGCAGUGGGGAAUAUUGCACAAUGGGCGCAAGCCUGAUGCAGCCAUGCCGCGUGUAUGAAGAAGGCCUUCGGGUUGUAAAGUACUUUCAGCGGGGAGGAAGGGAGUAAAGUUAAUACCUUUGCUCAUUGACGUUACCCGCAGAAGAAGCACCGGCUAACUCCGUG
Molecule: ribosomal RNA, 490 nt
Filed under: uncultured bacterium
Lineage: Bacteria
Description: partial 16S ribosomal RNA
Rfam family: Bacterial small subunit ribosomal RNA
Source: RNAcentral